CAGGGGAGAUUUCUUCAGCAAUGGAACAAAGUAUUUGUAUUGAUUUGUAUAAUUGCGGUGUCACUGGAUCCGUUGUUCUUCUAUAUUCCUGUCAUAGAUAACGACAGAAAGUGCCUCGAUUUGGACAGGACGUUAAAGAUCACUGCUUGUGUUCUUCGUUCUAUCACUGAUCUUUUCUAUAUCUUUCACAUUAUCUUGCAAUUUCGUACUGGUUACAUUGCUCCUCCUUCUCGAAUUUUUGGAAGAGGUGAGUUGGUUGAAGAUUCCUAUGAUAUAGCCAAGCGAUAUUUGUUAUCAUAUUUCAUCGUUG
Molecule: unclassified non-coding RNA, 310 nt
Filed under: Hevea brasiliensis (rubber tree)
Lineage: Eukaryota; Viridiplantae; Streptophyta; Magnoliopsida; Malpighiales; Euphorbiaceae
Source: RNAcentral